UGGGGAAUUUUCUGCAAUGGGCGAAAGCCUGACAGAGCAAUACCGCGUGAGGGACGAAAGCCUGCGGGUUGUAAACCUCUUUUCUCAAAGAAGAAGAUCUGACGGUAUUUGAGGAAUAAGCAUCGGCUAACUCCGUGCCAGCAGCCGCGGUAAUACGGGGGAUGCAAGCGUUAUCCGGAAUCACUGGGCGUAAAGCGUCUGCAGGUGGUUUAUUAAGUCCUUUGUUAAAUCCUGAGGCCUAACCUAAGGCUUGCAAAGGAAACUAAUAAUCUUGAGUAUGGUAGAGGUAGAGGGAAUUUCCAGUGGAGCGGUGAAAUGCGUAGAUAUUGGAAAGAACACCGAUGGCGAAAGCACUCUACUGGGCCAUUACUGACACUCAGAGACGAAAGCUAGGGGAGCAAAUGGGAUUAGAUACCCCCGUAGUCC
This 426-nucleotide ribosomal RNA is filed under the name uncultured prokaryote. RNAcentral's name for it is "bacterial SSU rRNA". It matches the Rfam family "Bacterial small subunit ribosomal RNA", at positions 355 to 796 of the family's 1533-position model. The record is from RNAcentral.